This 2905-nucleotide ribosomal RNA is filed under the name Escherichia coli. RNAcentral describes it as "partial 23S ribosomal RNA". It matches the Rfam family "Bacterial large subunit ribosomal RNA". Lineage: Bacteria; Pseudomonadati; Pseudomonadota; Gammaproteobacteria; Enterobacterales; Enterobacteriaceae. The record is from RNAcentral.
GUUAAGCGACUAAGCGUACACGGUGGAUGCCCUGGCAGUCAGAGGCGAUGAAGGACGUGCUAAUCUGCGAUAAGCGUCGGUAAGGUGAUAUGAACCGUUAUAACCGGCGAUUUCCGAAUGGGGAAACCCAGUGUGUUUCGACACACUAUCAUUAACUGAAUCCAUAGGUUAAUGAGGCGAACCGGGGGAACUGAAACAUCUAAGUACCCCGAGGAAAAGAAAUCAACCGAGAUUCCCCCAGUAGCGGCGAGCGAACGGGGAGCAGCCCAGAGCCUGAAUCAGUGUGUGUGUUAGUGGAAGCGUCUGGAAAGGCGCGCGAUACAGGGUGACAGCCCCGUACACAAAAAUGCACAUGCUGUGAGCUCGAUGAGUAGGGCGGGACACGUGGUAUCCUGUCUGAAUAUGGGGGGACCAUCCUCCAAGGCUAAAUACUCCUGACUGACCGAUAGUGAACCAGUACCGUGAGGGAAAGGCGAAAAGAACCCCGGCGAGGGGAGUGAAAAAGAACCUGAAACCGUGUACGUACAAGCAGUGGGAGCACGCUUAGGCGUGUGACUGCGUACCUUUUGUAUAAUGGGUCAGCGACUUAUAUUCUGUAGCAAGGUUAACCGAAUAGGGGAGCCGAAGGGAAACCGAGUCUUAACUGGGCGUUAAGUUGCAGGGUAUAGACCCGAAACCCGGUGAUCUAGCCAUGGGCAGGUUGAAGGUUGGGUAACACUAACUGGAGGACCGAACCGACUAAUGUUGAAAAAUUAGCGGAUGACUUGUGGCUGGGGGUGAAAGGCCAAUCAAACCGGGAGAUAGCUGGUUCUCCCCGAAAGCUAUUUAGGUAGCGCCUCGUGAAUUCAUCUCCGGGGGUAGAGCACUGUUUCGGCAAGGGGGUCAUCCCGACUUACCAACCCGAUGCAAACUGCGAAUACCGGAGAAUGUUAUCACGGGAGACACACGGCGGGUGCUAACGUCCGUCGUGAAGAGGGAAACAACCCAGACCGCCAGCUAAGGUCCCAAAGUCAUGGUUAAGUGGGAAACGAUGUGGGAAGGCCCAGACAGCCAGGAUGUUGGCUUAGAAGCAGCCAUCAUUUAAAGAAAGCGUAAUAGCUCACUGGUCGAGUCGGCCUGCGCGGAAGAUGUAACGGGGCUAAACCAUGCACCGAAGCUGCGGCAGCGACGCUUAUGCGUUGUUGGGUAGGGGAGCGUUCUGUAAGCCUGUGAAGGUGUGCUGUGAGGCAUGCUGGAGGUAUCAGAAGUGCGAAUGCUGACAUAAGUAACGAUAAAGCGGGUGAAAAGCCCGCUCGCCGGAAGACCAAGGGUUCCUGUCCAACGUUAAUCGGGGCAGGGUGAGUCGACCCCUAAGGCGAGGCCGAAAGGCGUAGUCGAUGGGAAACAGGUUAAUAUUCCUGUACUUGGUGUUACUGCGAAGGGGGGACGGAGAAGGCUAUGUUGGCCGGGCGACGGUUGUCCCGGUUUAAGCGUGUAGGCUGGUUUUCCAGGCAAAUCCGGAAAAUCAAGGCUGAGGCGUGAUGACGAGGCACUACGGUGCUGAAGCAACAAAUGCCCUGCUUCCAGGAAAAGCCUCUAAGCAUCAGGUAACAUCAAAUCGUACCCCAAACCGACACAGGUGGUCAGGUAGAGAAUACCAAGGCGCUUGAGAGAACUCGGGUGAAGGAACUAGGCAAAAUGGUGCCGUAACUUCGGGAGAAGGCACGCUGAUAUGUAGGUGAAGCGACUUGCUCGUGGAGCUGAAAUCAGUCGAAGAUACCAGCUGGCUGCAACUGUUUAUUAAAAACACAGCACUGUGCAAACACGAAAGUGGACGUAUACGGUGUGACGCCUGCCCGGUGCCGGAAGGUUAAUUGAUGGGGUCAGCGCAAGCGAAGCUCUUGAUCGAAGCCCCGGUAAACGGCGGCCGUAACUAUAACGGUCCUAAGGUAGCGAAAUUCCUUGUCGGGUAAGUUCCGACCUGCACGAAUGGCGUAAUGAUGGCCAGGCUGUCUCCACCCGAGACUCAGUGAAAUUGAACUCGCUGUGAAGAUGCAGUGUACCCGCGGCAAGACGGAAAGACCCCGUGAACCUUUACUAUAGCUUGACACUGAACAUUGAGCCUUGAUGUGUAGGAUAGGUGGGAGGCUUAGAAGUGUGGACGCCAGUCUGCAUGGAGCCGACCUUGAAAUACCACCCUUUAAUGUUUGAUGUUCUAACGUUGACCCGUAAUCCGGGUUGCGGACAGUGUCUGGUGGGUAGUUUGACUGGGGCGGUCUCCUCCUAAAGAGUAACGGAGGAGCACGAAGGUUGGCUAAUCCUGGUCGGACAUCAGGAGGUUAGUGCAAUGGCAUAAGCCAGCUUGACUGCGAGCGUGACGGCGCGAGCAGGUGCGAAAGCAGGUCAUAGUGAUCCGGUGGUUCUGAAUGGAAGGGCCAUCGCUCAACGGAUAAAAGGUACUCCGGGGAUAACAGGCUGAUACCGCCCAAGAGUUCAUAUCGACGGCGGUGUUUGGCACCUCGAUGUCGGCUCAUCACAUCCUGGGGCUGAAGUAGGUCCCAAGGGUAUGGCUGUUCGCCAUUUAAAGUGGUACGCGAGCUGGGUUUAGAACGUCGUGAGACAGUUCGGUCCCUAUCUGCCGUGGGCGCUGGAGAACUGAGGGGGGCUGCUCCUAGUACGAGAGGACCGGAGUGGACGCAUCACUGGUGUUCGGGUUGUCAUGCCAAUGGCACUGCCCGGUAGCUAAAUGCGGAAGAGAUAAGUGCUGAAAGCAUCUAAGCACGAAACUUGCCCCGAGAUGAGUUCUCCCUGACCCUUUAAGGGUCCUGAAGGAACGUUGAAGACGACGACGUUGAUAGGCCGGGUGUGUAAGCGCAGCGAUGCGUUGAGCUAACCGGUACUAAUGAACCGUGAGGCUUAACCUUAC